Molecule: ribosomal RNA, 496 nt
Filed under: uncultured bacterium
Lineage: Bacteria
Description: partial 16S ribosomal RNA
Rfam family: Bacterial small subunit ribosomal RNA
Source: RNAcentral
GACGAACGCUGGCGGCGUGCCUAAUACAUGCAAGUAGAACGCUGAAGAGAGGAGCUUGCUCUUCUUGGAUGAGUUGCGAACGGGUGAGUAACGCGUAGGUAACCUGCCUUGUAGCGGGGGAUAACUAUUGGAAACGAUAGCUAAUACCGCAUAACAAUGGAUGACACAUGUCAUUUAUUUGAAAGGGGCAAUUGCUCCACUACAAGAUGGACCUGCGUUGUAUUAGCUAGUAGGUGAGGUAAUGGCUCACCUAGGCGACGAUACAUAGCCGACCUGAGAGGGUGAUCGGCCACACUGGGACUGAGACACGGCCCAGACUCCUACGGGAGGCAGCAGUAGGGAAUCUUCGGCAAUGGGGGCAACCCUGACCGAGCAACGCCGCGUGAGUGAAGAAGGUUUUCGGAUCGUAAAGCUCUGUUGUAAGUCAAGAACGGGUGUGAGAGUGGAAAGUGCACACUGUGACGGUAGCUUACCAGAAAGGGACGGCUAACUACGU